RNAcentral lists this ribosomal RNA (200 nucleotides) under uncultured organism. RNAcentral describes it as "partial small subunit ribosomal RNA". It matches the Rfam family "Bacterial small subunit ribosomal RNA", at positions 1184 to 1382 of the family's 1533-position model. The record is from RNAcentral.
GUCAAGUCCUCAUGGCCUUUAUGACCAGGGCUGCACACGUCCUACAAUGGCGUACACAAAGGGAGGCAAACUCGCGAGAGCAAGCAAAUCCCAUAAACCCGAUCGUAGUCCGGAUCGCAGUCUGCAACUCGGCUGCGUGAAGUCGGAAUCGCUAGUAAUCGUGAAUCAGCGAUGUCACGGUGAAUACGUUCCCGGGUCUU